CACCGCGGUUAUACGAGAGGCCCAAGUUGAAAGACACCGGCGUAAAGCGUGGUUAAAUUAAAAUAUAAACUAAAGUUAAACAUCUUCAAGACUGUGAUACGUACCCGAAGACAGGAAUCUCAACCACGAAAGUAACUUUAUAUAAACUGAACCCACGAAAGCUAUAGCA
RNAcentral lists this ribosomal RNA (169 nucleotides) under Paraliparis pectoralis. Its description in RNAcentral is "partial small subunit ribosomal RNA". The record is from RNAcentral. Lineage: Eukaryota; Metazoa; Chordata; Actinopteri; Perciformes; Liparidae.